RNAcentral lists this ribosomal RNA (94 nucleotides) under Ensifer sp. Root558. RNAcentral's name for it is "partial 16S ribosomal RNA". It matches the Rfam family "Bacterial small subunit ribosomal RNA", at positions 1 to 106 of the family's 1533-position model. Lineage: Bacteria; Pseudomonadati; Pseudomonadota; Alphaproteobacteria; Hyphomicrobiales; Rhizobiaceae. The record is from RNAcentral.
UCAACUUGAGAGUUUGAUCCUGGCUCAGAACGAACGCUGGCGGCAGGCUUAACACAUGCAAGUCGAGCGCCCCGCAAGGGGAGCGGCAGACGGG